UUCAUAUUAGAUCUGACAGUAUGAAUGGUUCUUAUGGUUGUAUUCAGUUCUUCAUAUUAGAUCUGACAGUAUGAAUGGUUCUUAUGGUUGUAUUCAGUUCUUCAUAUUAGAUCUGACAGUAUGAAUGGUUCUUAUGGUUGUAUUCGGAUCUUCCAUAUUAGAUCUGACAGUAUGAGCAAGGCAGUUAACCCCCUAACAACUGCUCCCCGGGUGCUGAUGACUUCAAUUAAGGCAGCCCCCACCCCACCUCUGAUUCAGAGGGGUUGGGUUAAAUGUGGAAGACACAUUUUGGUUAAAUGCAUUUCCCUUUCCCCACACCAGAGUUCUCCAAGACUAUUUACAUAAUGGACAUUUCAACAGUUUGACCAUCAAUAGUCUUGGGCAUUUACUGAGCUGUAACCAUGGACCAUGGAAAAGGUCUGUUGAAAUGAAUACUGUAGUGGUGUGAGGAAGGUAACACAAGGUUCCAUUCCCCAAUAGUAACUAUUGAGAGAAACCGAUGAGUGAAUAAUAGAGCCUGUAAUUGUCAAUGUAACUCCUGACCACAUACCUAUAAUGUAACAUGAUGAAACUUAGGUUUUCAGAUAUGUGUUUUUUUUUUUUUUAAACCUCCUAAUGGGUGGAUUCAUUACGCCGAUUUUGUUGGAAAACGUUUUGCAUCAGAAACCGUUUACUCCCAUUUUUUUUUUUUUUUUUGCAAGGACAAGGAGCGUUUCUAUUGGACAAAUUCAGGUAGGUCCCUCCCAAUUUCGCUCCAUUUGCUCUGUUUUUGCUUUUUAAAUGGUAAACGGUUUCCGUGGCAAGACGUAAUGAAUACACCCCAGUUCUUAGUUGUAGUGCCUUUCACCUCUUUGAACCCAUCCUUCCAGUGGGAUAAAGAUGAUACAUUUUUGUAAGUAGGGCUGGGCGGUAUACCGUAUUUUACGACGUACUGGUAUUGUUGCACGGACCCGUUUGGGUUUUAAUUUAAUUUUAAUGUUUGAUUUGUUAAAUGGGAUACGCCCUGUGUAACAUCCAUUUUUUUCUAUUUUACUUCGCUUCUCUUCAUGCCGCUUUCCACACAGACCUAGCCCCGCCCCCUGUCACCCGAGGAGGCAUUUGUUGUUCCUCGACCAUGAGACACUUGUGUUCCGUCUGCAGGGUCAAUGCAACAAUGUUGAUGACAACGAUGCUGUUUUCUCUUUACUUCUUAAUAUAAACCACUAGCGUUCUAAAAUUACACAACUGGUUCGUGUUUUCUUAGCAAGUUGGGCCUAAAUAUUGUUAGCCGCUAAUCGCUAGCUAGCAAUCUAAUAAAUGUACUGAGUCAGAGCAAACGUAAUUAGCUAUGCAGCCUGAUAAUACCAGUGAUGCUGUAGUCCUGAAUCGGCAUGUUUGGACAACAGUAUCUUAAAAAUCAAAAAGGAAUAUGUGAAGCAAGAAUGUUAGCUACAUGAAGUAGCUAAGAGAACACUGGUUCCUACUCUGUCACAAUAACUGCUCCCUGGCAUUUUAAUUUGUCGUGUCAAACACUGUAUUCAAAGAGCCCACUAUUAUAU
Oncorhynchus tshawytscha (Chinook salmon) is the source of this 1538-nucleotide long non-coding RNA. The record is from Ensembl. NCBI's taxonomy places the organism in Eukaryota, Metazoa, Chordata, Actinopteri, Salmoniformes, Salmonidae.